AAUACAUCAAGUAGGAGAGUCAACCAUGACGAACUUGUUGGCAAAGUUCCUCUUCUGUGAUCCCAAUCGGUUGGUUGGGUUGCGAGGGGGGCAAGAACACAGAGAACUUCUCCCAAUCAGGAAAGUAGCAUGUCAGGUUACAUUGUAUUGGAUAAACGCUACAGCUUUGCACUAGCUUGUUUCUAGUUUUAUCUUUACUCUUUUCGGAUAGAAAGUUUGUACAGGGAAAGGACAAUAAUGAAAGAAGGGCACUCCUUGUUCUUUAUCCUUG
This 271-nucleotide unclassified non-coding RNA is filed under the name Hevea brasiliensis (rubber tree). Lineage: Eukaryota; Viridiplantae; Streptophyta; Magnoliopsida; Malpighiales; Euphorbiaceae. The record is from RNAcentral.